Non-coding RNA from Ciona savignyi (Pacific transparent sea squirt), 82 nucleotides. NCBI's taxonomy places the organism in Eukaryota, Metazoa, Chordata, Ascidiacea, Phlebobranchia, Cionidae. The record is from Rfam.
GUCGUCGUGGCCGAGUGGUUAAGGCGACAGACUUGAAAUCUGUUGGGCUGUGCCCGCACAGGUUCGAAUCCUGUCGGCGACG